RNAcentral lists this long non-coding RNA (762 nucleotides) under Rattus norvegicus (Norway rat). RNAcentral describes it as "long non-coding RNA NONRATT018058". The record is from RNAcentral. Lineage: Eukaryota; Metazoa; Chordata; Mammalia; Rodentia; Muridae.
AGUGUAAGGAACAGCAUUUGUUGGAAUAAUUGGCACAAUUCUUCUCUUAACCAAAGCUACCUGUGUUGUAUGCUAGUUGACAGUCUCAUGCUAGUUCAUUUCAUUGUCAAUAUGCUUUGUAUGCCGAAAAUGUCUUACUUCAAAAAGGUGCAAGAUGGGCUGGAGAGAUGGCUCAGCCAUUAAAGGCUAGGCUCACAACCAAAAAGGUGCAAGAUUGGGUGUGGCAAUAAAUGACUUUAAUCCUGGCACUGGGGGUGGGGAGAAGGAGAUCUCUGUAAGCUUGAGGUCAGUUACAGAUGCUACAAAAAAAAUUGAGAAGGCAAUUUAUGCACAUCUAAAAUUUUUCAGACAACCCAUGAAUCUAUAAAGAAUAAAAUAAGUGAUGCCUGGAAUUCUCCUAGGCAGUAAUAACCGUUUCCACCAUUUUGGGUGUCUUUAACAGCAGAGCGUUUUCUCAUUUUCUGUGUAGUACACAAACAUGCACUCAGAUCUGCACACGUGCAUACUUGAUCUACAUAGAUUUAUGUGUACAUGCAUCUAAUGUUUAUAUCUCAGAAACUUAUAUGUAUCUCACAUAUACACACACACAGACAUACACCCCCAGGUGGGCUGACGCCAAUAUCGUUUUUUUUAAGAAUGGGCUCUUGGGGCUGGGGAUUUAGCUCAGUGGUAGAGCGCUUACCUAGGAAGCGCAAGGUCCUGGGUUCAGUCCCCAGCUCCGAAAAAAAGAACCAAAAAAAAAAAAAAAAAAAAAGAACGGGC